This 240-nucleotide unclassified non-coding RNA is filed under the name soil metagenome. RNAcentral describes it as "partial contains 5.8S ribosomal RNA, internal transcribed spacer 2, and large subunit ribosomal RNA". The record is from RNAcentral.
AACGCACGAGACCUGCGGACCUGCGGAGGGAUCAUUACAUGGCGGAGGAGGUGGGCACCUAGUAAAACAAAACCCUAGGUGUGUUGCCUACCACGCUUUCUACCCUUGUCUAUUUGCACCUUUUGUCGUUCCCUCGGUGGGUCUUGAACCUGCCGGCGGCAACUUUCAAAAACCUUUUGUAGUUAGUAUCUAAUUCUUCUGAUCAAAUAUUCAAUCGCUACAACUUUUAACAAUGGAUCU